UGAAGUUUCAUAUACCCUCAUUCCCACCAUGGCAUUUUUCGAAUUCUUGCCUGUGAAACAGAGCGACAUAGUUGGUGAUACAAGUCCUUACCCAGGGGCAAGAUCUCCCCUCAACGAGAAAGAACGGGAAGAACUGGUCGAUCUCAUUGACGUUAAGCUUGGAGAAGAAUACGAGCUUGUGGUGACUACCUAUGCUGGUAAGUAAUAAUGCAGGAAGGAGAAUACAAUAACUUCACCUGAUUGAUUGUUCUUUAUCAGAUAUUUGUGUUGUUACCACGAUAAUCGUGUGAAAUUUGCAGGGCUGUACAGAUAUAAAGUGGGAGACAUCCUACAAGUCGCUGGAUUCAAGAACAAGGCUCCCCAUUUCCACUUCAUUGGGCGAAAAAAUGUUGCUCUGAGCAUAGAAGCUGACAAAACCGAUGAAGCUGAGCUGAAAAGAGCAGUAGAGAAAGCCGUAAUCAACCAUUUGAGGCCACUUAACGCUAGUUUAGUUGAUUACACUGCCUAUGCAGACAAAAGCACAGUUCCAGGACAUUAUGUUAUAUUCUGGGAAUAUAUCGUGCAUAACGAGGGAUCAAAAAGUACAAACCAAGUGAUUCCACCAUCUGUUUUCGAGGAUUGUUGUCUUACCAUGGAAGAGUCACUCGACAGUGUGUACCGACAAGGUCGUGUAGCUGAUAAAUCCAUCGGUCCUCUUGAGAUCAGGAUAGUAGAA
Molecule: long non-coding RNA, 715 nt
Filed under: Daucus carota (carrot)
Lineage: Eukaryota; Viridiplantae; Streptophyta; Magnoliopsida; Apiales; Apiaceae
Description: long non-coding RNA (DCAR_LNC004009)
Source: RNAcentral